AUUGAACGCUGGCGGCAGGCCUAACACAUGCCAGUCGAACGGUAACAGGAAGAUGCUUGCUUCUUUGCUGACGAGUGGCGGACGGGUGAGUAAUGUCUGGGAAACUGCCUGAUGGAGGGGGAUAACUACUGGAAACGGUAGCUAAUACCGCAGAAUUUCGCAAGACCAAAGAGGGGGACCUUCGGGCCUCUGGCCGUCGUGUGCGCCCAGAUGGGAUGAGCUAGUAGGUGGGGUAACGGCUCACCUAGGCGACGAGCUCUAGCUCGUCUGAGAGGAUGACCGGCCACACUGGAACUGAGACACGGUCCAGACUCCUACGGGAGGCAGCAGUGGGGAAUAUUGCACAAUGGGCGCAAGCCUGAUGCAGCUAUGCCGAGUGUAUGAAGAAGGCCUUCGGGUUGUAAAGUACUUUCAGCGGGGAGGAAGGGAGUACAGUUAAUACCUUUCCUGAUUGACGGUAACCGCAGAAGAAGCACCGGCUAACUACGUG
Molecule: ribosomal RNA, 490 nt
Filed under: uncultured bacterium
Lineage: Bacteria
Description: partial 16S ribosomal RNA
Rfam family: Bacterial small subunit ribosomal RNA
Source: RNAcentral